GCCGGCGGCUAGCUCUCUGCAACUCUCACAUGGUCGCCCACUGAAGCUAAGCAGGGCUGCGCCCGGUCACUACCUGGAUGGGAGAUCACAUGGGAAAGCUGGGUUGCUGCCGGAA
Molecule: non-coding RNA, 115 nt
Organism: Danio rerio (zebrafish)
Lineage: Eukaryota; Metazoa; Chordata; Actinopteri; Cypriniformes; Danionidae
Source: Rfam